GAAUAUCCCGGGCUACACGCGAGCUACAAUGGUUGGUACAAUGGGUAUCUACCCCGAAAGGGGACGGGAAUCUCCUAAAACCAAUCUUAGUUCGGAUUGAGGGCUGCAACUCGCCCUCAUGAAGCUGGAAUCCGUAGUAAUCGCGUUUCAACAGAACGCGGUGAAUACGUCCUGCUCCUU
This 180-nucleotide ribosomal RNA is filed under the name uncultured Methanosaeta sp. RNAcentral describes it as "partial 16S ribosomal RNA". It matches the Rfam family "Archaeal small subunit ribosomal RNA", at positions 1158 to 1338 of the family's 1478-position model. Lineage: Archaea; Methanobacteriati; Methanobacteriota; Methanomicrobia; Methanotrichales; Methanotrichaceae. The record is from RNAcentral.